GAUGAAGAACGUAGCGAAAUGCGAUACUUGGUGUGAAUUGCAGAAUCCCGUGAACCAUCGAGUCUUUGAACGCAAGUUGCGCCCGAAGCCACUAGGCCGAGGGCACGCCUGCCUGGGCGUCACACGCCGUUGCCCCCCCAUCUACUCCUUCGGGAUUGCGGGGGGGCGGAUGAUGGCCUCCCGUGCGCCUAGCCGCGCGGUUGGCGUAAAUACCAAGUCCUCGGCGACGCACGCCACGACAAUCGGUGGUUGCGAAACCUCGGUUGCCCGUCGUGUGCGUUCGUCGCGCAUCGAGGGCUCGAAAAAAUGCUCGGCUCCGGCUGGGCUUUCAACGCGACCCCAGGUCAGGCGGGGUUACCCGCUGAAUUUAAGCAUAUCAAUAAGCGGAGGA
RNAcentral lists this unclassified non-coding RNA (391 nucleotides) under soil metagenome. Its description in RNAcentral is "partial contains 5.8S ribosomal RNA, internal transcribed spacer 2, and large subunit ribosomal RNA". The stretch from base 1 to 122 matches the Rfam family "5.8S ribosomal RNA", at positions 35 to 154 of the family's 154-position model. The record is from RNAcentral.